This 113-nucleotide ribosomal RNA is filed under the name Sorex araneus (European shrew). Lineage: Eukaryota; Metazoa; Chordata; Mammalia; Eulipotyphla; Soricidae. The record is from RNAcentral.
GUCUACUACCAUACCACCAUGAACGUACCUGAUCUCGUCUGAUCUGGAAGCUAAGCAGCGUUGGGGCUUUGAUAGUACUUAGAUGGGUGGAGAACCAUAGAACCUGGAAAANN